RNAcentral lists this ribosomal RNA (253 nucleotides) under uncultured bacterium. RNAcentral describes it as "partial 16S ribosomal RNA". It matches the Rfam family "Bacterial small subunit ribosomal RNA", at positions 524 to 776 of the family's 1533-position model. The record is from RNAcentral.
UACGUAGGUGGCAAGCGUUAUCCGGAAUUACUGGGUGUAAAGGGAGCGUAGACGGUAGUGUAAGGCUGGAGUGAAAGGCGGGGGCCCAACCCCCGGACUGCUCUGGAAACUAUGUUACUAGAGUGCAGGAGAGGUAAGCGGAAUUCCUAGUGUAGCGGUGAAAUGCGUAGAUAUUAGGAGGAACACCAGUGGCGAAGGCGGCUUACUGGACUGUAACUGACGUUGAGGCUCGAAAGCGUGGGGAGCAAACAGG